RNAcentral lists this ribosomal RNA (433 nucleotides) under uncultured bacterium. Its description in RNAcentral is "partial 16S ribosomal RNA". It matches the Rfam family "Bacterial small subunit ribosomal RNA", at positions 29 to 507 of the family's 1533-position model. The record is from RNAcentral.
AACGAACGCUGGCGGCAUGCCUAACACAUGCAAGUCGAACGAGACCUUCGGGUCUAGUGGCGCACGGGGGCGUAACGCGUGGGAACCUGCCCUUAGGUUCGGAAUAACUCCCCGAAAGGGGUGCUAAUACCGGAUAAUGUCUUCGGACCAACGAUUUAUCGCCUUUGGAUGGGCCCGCGUUGGAUUAGCUAGUUGGUAGGGUAAAAGCCUACCAAGGCGACGAUCCAUAGCUGGUCUGAGAGGAUGCUCAGCCACACUGGGACUGCGACACGGCCCAGACUCCUACGGGAGGCAGCAGUGGGGAAUAUUGGACGAUGGGCGAAAGCCUGAUCCAGCAAUGCCGCGUGAGUGAUGAAGGCCUUAGGGUUGUACAGCUCUUUUACCCGGGAUGAUAAUGACAGUACCGGGAGAAUAAGCUCCGGCUAACUACGUG